RNAcentral lists this ribosomal RNA (1071 nucleotides) under Triticum aestivum (bread wheat). RNAcentral describes it as "partial small subunit ribosomal RNA". Lineage: Eukaryota; Viridiplantae; Streptophyta; Magnoliopsida; Poales; Poaceae. The record is from RNAcentral.
AUGGCCAUGGCCGUGCUGGUCAUGCUGCUGGCCACGGGGCCAGCGCCUGCUAGCGCCAUGAACUUCGCGGAGGCGGACCUGGCGUCGGAGGAGUCCCUCUGGGCGCUGUACGAGCGUUGGCGCGCGUAGCACACGGUGGCGCGCGACCUCGGCGAGAAGGCCCGUCGCUUCAACGUGUUCAGGGAGAACGUGCGGCUCAUCCACCAGUUCAACCGCGGCGACGCGCCCUACAAACUCCGCCUCAACCGCUUCGGCGACAUGACCACCGACGAGUUCCGCCGCGCCUACGCCUCUUCCCGCAUCGCGCACCACCGCAUGUUCCACCCUAAGGCAGGUGGUGGGGGUUUCAUGCACGGCGACAGGAUUUCCGCCCCGUCGUCGGUCGACUGGCGGCAGAAGGGCGCGGUGACCGCCGUCAAGGACCAGGGGCAGUGCGGCAGCUCCUGGGCCUUCUCGACGAUCGCAGCGGUGGAGGGCAUCAACGCGAUCCGGACCAAGAACCUGACGUCGCUCUCGGAGCAGGAGCUGGUGGACUGCGACACCGCCGACGGCAACUCCGGCUGCAACGGCGGUAUCAUGGACAAGGCAUUCCAGUACAUCGCCGAUAAUGGCGGGGUCGCCACCGAGGACGCCUACCCCUACACGGCCCAGCAGCAGGCCUCCACCUGCAACACCGGGGCGCCCCGCGUUGUCACCAUCGACGGGUACGAGGACGUGCCGGCCAACAACGAGAAGGCGCUGAAGAAGGCUGUGGCUGCACAGCCGGUGUCCGUGGCCGUCGACGCAGGCGGGUUCCAGUUUUAUUCGGAGGGGGUGUUCACCGGGGAGUGCGGGACCGAGCUGGACCAUGGCGUUGCGGUGGUGGGGUACGGCAUCACCGUAGAUGGCACCAAGUACUGGAUCGUGAAGAACUCGUGGGGCGAGGAGUGGGGCGAGAAUGGGUACAUCCGCAUGGAGCGCGACGUCAAGGAUAAGAAGGGCCUUUGCGGGAUCGCCAUGGACGCUUCCUACCCGAUCAAGACCUCGCCCAACGCCCCAACCCCGAGUCUGUCCAUGACGAGCUCUGAUUAA